This 524-nucleotide long non-coding RNA is filed under the name Fukomys damarensis (Damara mole-rat). Its description in RNAcentral is "lncRNA (ENSFDAG00000022104.1)". The record is from RNAcentral. Lineage: Eukaryota; Metazoa; Chordata; Mammalia; Rodentia; Bathyergidae.
AGACAUUCCAGCAGGAACAGCUCAUCGAUUAAUGGGAAUUUGUUUUUUCCCAAGAUGAAUUUUUGCUUCUGUAGAAGUUUUGUGUAUAAAUCAUUUUGCCCUUAGCUGCACUGUUGUUUUGCCAUCAAAGACAUCACAGUAUCAUGGAUCAUUGAGACCUCCAUCGUGACCAGUGGUGUGCGGCGUUAUUCCAUUCCCACACACCAACUCCUGGCUCUUCAGAUACGAUACUGCUAUGCAUCCCUCAUUUUUGCUUGGUGUAUAUAUACGCUAAGGGAAGGCACGCGUUAUGGUUUGGACAUGAUACACCCGCUAAGGGCUCAUUCUGUUGAAGUCAUGGCUGCUGAUGGUCUCCUGAGAUGGACUGGAUCUUGACGGCUCCGACUUCACAGUGGGUUAAUCCACCAAUGACACUGUAGCUUGAUGGCAUUACUGGUCAGGCAAGACAGCAGAUGGAGCAAAGAGAGUACAUCACGGGGACCUGACCUAGCCACUGUGUAUGAUCACUGUUCCCUUCCUGGCCA